CAAGCCAGCCAUGCUUCACUGAGCUCCCUUCCACUUUUGUGGUCAUGUUUCCUCUUUAUGGUUAAGUGAACCUCAAAACAAUGACAAAGAAAUAUGCACUGAGUCACAUAUUCUAAGAAAUAGACUGUACUCUCCUCAAAUCGAAAUAACAGCACUUUAAUUCUUGGAUUUUUCCACAUUUUUCUUGGUUAAAGCUGCUAUUUGCUUUCUUUGAAUCUGUAUCAGUUCAUGCAGUUCUGCCAAGGGGGGAAGUUUCACAGGACACUGCUACUUUAGCACGUGAAAUAUUAAGAUGAACAGAAUACGUACAAAGGUGGGGAACCUGGGAAGAUUGAAUGUCCUCUGGAGUCCACGGGGGUUUCCAGGGGGAGAAGCAAAACAAAACGGAGCAUAGCGGCACAGUGGGACAGACUUUCCCAAGAUCCCCAGCUGGAUACCCCAAGAGAUCCAGCAGAAGAAAAACCAAAGCUGUAUAUGAGAUAAUUCUACAACACAGGGCAUCCAGUUUACCUAUGGAGAAAAUGAAGCUAAGGGUGAACUCAUGAUUUAAAGAUACAAACCUGAAAUAACAGCUGCAAAUAAAACCACAGAACAAAAGCA
Molecule: long non-coding RNA, 600 nt
Filed under: Sus scrofa (pig)
Lineage: Eukaryota; Metazoa; Chordata; Mammalia; Artiodactyla; Suidae
Description: lncRNA (multiple genes)
Source: RNAcentral